Long non-coding RNA from Alosa sapidissima (American shad), 512 nucleotides. RefSeq lists it as uncharacterized. The transcript is spliced from 3 exons. NCBI's taxonomy places the organism in Eukaryota, Metazoa, Chordata, Actinopteri, Clupeiformes, Clupeidae. The record is from RefSeq and is a predicted model, not a curated record.
GCUAAGGGUCCUUCGAGAAGAACGUAUAAGUGUGACGCGUCUCCUCGUGGCUGGUCUCAGUGAGAAUGGAACGCAUGUGCUGUUGCUGCUAAAUGAUGGCAGUAUCCCACUGAAGUUGACUAGUUCAGAGGUGAAUAUUGAAUCUCAACUGGAGACACAUCAGUCAACGCAAAUGGUGAAUUGGUAUUAAGUUUUAAAUGGGUGACCAGUGACGUGUUUAAGGUUUAGCUCUAAGCAAUGUAGCAGUCACUUUUGGCUGCACGUGAAGGACCGUUCCCUAAAGGUUCUCUGAAGGUAGCAGCUAAUACCUUUAGGGAACCUUCCCUAAAGGUUGUGUGUUUGCUGGGCGCUAACUUCACUGUGAAUAAUCGGGUUGGUGUGUCCGGGCCCUAAAGCCUUCCUCACACAGACUUUGGAAAGAUUUGGAAAAGAUUUUUGAAAGACUACAGUCUCAGACCCCCUCACAUCUAAAGACAAGUAGAGUUUUAAGUCAGACUAUGAUUUUGCAAUGA